Molecule: ribosomal RNA, 908 nt
Filed under: uncultured bacterium
Lineage: Bacteria
Description: bacterial SSU rRNA
Rfam family: Bacterial small subunit ribosomal RNA
Source: RNAcentral
ACGCUGGCGGCAGGCUUAACACGUGCAAGUCGAACGGUAACAGGGAUUAGCUUGCUAAUCUGCUGACGAGUGGCGGACGGGUGAGUAAUGCUUGGGAAUCUGGCUUAUGGAGGGGGAUAACUACGGGAAACUGUGGCUAAUACCGCGUAAAAUCUUCGGAUUAAAGGGUGGGACUUUCGAGCCACCUGCCAUAAGAUGAGCCCAAGUGGGAUUAGGUAGUUGGUUAGGUAAAGGCUGACCAAGCCGACGAUCUCUAGCUGGUCUGAGAGGAUGACCAGCCACACUGGAACUGAGACACGGUCCAGACUCCUACGGGAGGCAGCAGUGGGGAAUAUUGCACAAUGGGGGGAACCCUGAUGCAGCCAUACCGCGUGAAUGAAGAAGGCCUUCGGGUUGUAAAGUUCUUUCGGUGACGAGGAAGGUUGGUAGGUUAAUAGCCUAUCAAAUUGACGUUAAACACAGAAGAAGCACCGGCUAACUCCGUGCCAGCAGCCGCGGUAAUACGGGGGGUGCGAGCGUUAAUCGGAAUAACUGGGCGUAAAGGGCACGCAGGCGGUGACUUAAGUGAGAUGUGAAAGCCCCGAGCUUAACUUGGGAAUUGCAUUUCAUACUGGGUCGCUAGAGUACUUUAGGGAGGAGUAGAAUUCCACGUGUAGCGGUGAAAUGCGUAGAGAUGUGGAGGAAUACCGAAGGCGAAGGCAGCCCCUUGGGAAUGUACUGACGCUCAUGUGCGAAAGCGUGGGGAGCAAACAGGAUUAGAUACCCUGGUAGUCCACGCUGUAAACGAUGUCGAUUUGGGGAUUGGGCUUUGAGCUUGGUGCCCGUAGCUAACGUGAUAAAUCGACCGCCUGGGGAGUACGGCCGCAAGGUUAAAACUCAAAUGAAUUGACGGGGGCCCGCACAAGCGG